RNA transcript from Camellia sinensis, 3231 nucleotides. RefSeq lists it as uncharacterized. Lineage: Eukaryota; Viridiplantae; Streptophyta; Magnoliopsida; Ericales; Theaceae. The record is from RefSeq and is a predicted model, not a curated record.
UGUUUUAUUUUCUUUCCCUUCCACUAUUUUCCUGGCAAUCAAACAGAAUGUGCAAAAUGGUGAGGCCUAAGGCUCCCCGAAAGAAGCAGCAACAGCGCGGUGUCGACUUCAAAAAAAUAAAACGAAAGAUUGGUCGGAAAUUGCCACCGCCAAAAAAUGCUACAAACACUGAAAUCAAAUCCAAAGCCAUUAUCCUUCCCGAGCAGAGUGUAGCAUCAGAAAAGGCGGGUUUGGCAGUGAGCAAAAAAGGUUUGACAUUGAAAGAGCUUCUUCAGCAAACAUCUCAUCACAAUUCCAAAGUCCGAAAAGAUGCUUUGAUUGGCAUUAGGGAUAUUUUUCUUAAAUACCCAACAGAGUUGAGAUUGCAUAAACUUGCCGUUAUAGAGAAGCUGCGUGAACGCAUUAGUGAUGAUGAUAAACUGGUUCGGGAAACACUAUAUCAACUUCUUAAGUCAGUGAUUUUCCCUACCUGUAAAGAGGACAAUCAAGGACCUUUCAUUUCACUGAUGAUGGCAUAUAUUUUCAAUGCAAUGACACAUUUGGCAAUUGAUGUUCGGUUGAUGGCUUUCAAAUUUUUUGACCUUGUUGUUCAGUACUACCCAUCGUCCUUUUCCUUAUAUUCUGAAAAGAUUUUCCAAAACUACGAAGAUGUAUUACGAAAGAAUCAGUUCUAUUUACAGGACAAGGGCAAGCUUAAGAAUGUUCUUGCAGGGCUAGUUCACUGCUUGUUAUUGUUGCCAAGUAGUAAGGCAGAUCAUGAUUCACCAUGUGAAAAGGAUGAUGCUGCACAAGGGAUUUUACAUGCUUUUGAGCCUGACACACCUAAACAUGCUGCUGGAUUUUCUGUCAUCAAAAAGAAACUAGAGGACCUUAUGCCCGUUUUACUUAGUUGUUUCCAAGAUUUUAUUCGAUUGGUUCAUACUAUGCGACACCUUGAUGUGCAAUCGUUUGAUUGUAUGCUAUUUAUACUUCAGAGCAUAGACCUUGUAGUCAGGUUCUUUGCUUAUGGGAUCGAUAACAGUCAGCAUGAGCUACAAGUGUCUAUGCUGCCUUGUGAAGGAUUGGAUGCAACCAUACGAAGUCAAACUAUCAUGCCAUCGUCAUUAAAGAAGUUAUUUGAUUUGUUCCCCCUCAACCCAACACAUCACCUUUCAGGAAAGGAUGAUGAUAAAUAUUUCGCCGUCAAUAUUAUAAUUACAGAAAUCUUUUUACACACAACUGACUGGCAAUGUCCUGCUGCUCUGUCUGAAAAAUUUCUUGAAUUCGUUGCAUGUGCUCUCUCUGAAGAGAUAUGCAGUGGCACACAGUCUGGUAAAGCAUUCCAUGAAAAGCACAUACUUUCACUAAUUCCUUUUAUUCCGAAACUUGUAUUCCAAGUAGCGGGUUUUUGGAAGUCUCGUAUUCUACAGGCUUUUACAGAGACUUUCAAAAGUUGCAAUCUAGAGUCUUCACUGAAAUGGGCUUGCCUUUCUGCAAUUGAAGAAAUGCUGGUUCCGAGACAAGGCUUGAAGCAGCUAGAUGCAAGUGAUCCAGAAUUGUUAGACUAUCAGAUUACUUGGAUGAGAGAGCUUCCUCUGCUGCUAAUCAUGUUAGAUGAUAAACACCCAUUACGUUCCAGGAGUGUACUGAGUCUUCUACUUCGGCUGGGACAAUGUGCUGUUGCAAACACUUUCUUUGCACAGGAGUAUGACAACAUGCAGGACUCAUUGGCAGAAUUUUACUGUAAUUGCAUGGGUGAAAGAAAUAUAUCUUAUGGUCCUUUUGUUAAACUCAAUAGAGAUGCUCAGGAGUUUUCUAUCUGUUGUCUUUAUUAUUUCUCUCAUGUGGACUCCCUUCUGCUCAAGUCAUUAGCUUGGUGCUGCUUAUAUGAUGGUUUGGAACCAAUUAUAAUAUUUCGAAUCAUAGAGGUUCUGCAUUCGUCCUAUAAAGCUGGACAUAUUCAAAUUGCUGACCACAUUAGUUUCUUUGUCACCUUACUCUCAUGCUUCAAAGUUUAUGCUGAAAAGAGUUGUCCUAUGUUGGAGAAUGAUGAGAUCUCAAAUUAUGGAAUUUUUAAGUCAAUCACUCGUGCCGUCUGCUCUUGUUUGUUACAGAUGGGUGAUUAUUAUCUUCUUUUCCAGAUACUAGAGAAAGUAGUUCUUGACCAGAUAAUACUGAACCCAGCUUUAGACAAUUUAUGUGCUCUGCUCAGGAUGCUUGUCGCGCUUGACGCUAGACCCACGAGAUUUUCUCAACAGAGUAUUAUCAAUCUAAGCAAUUUCCUUCCAGGAUACUUAAUUGAUGUUGUGUCUUGCUUUCCAGAAGAUGAUGAUGAAUCCCGCAUCCCAGUCCUUAGAAGCACAAGACAUUAUUAUUUCCUGCCUUGCUAUAUCUUGUUUUAUAGGAGCAACAAACUACUCAAUCUUGUUUUAAGGAAGAUGGGAUCUUUGGUAACUGAAAAGAGUAGGAUAACUGCAAUUGUUUCUGUUGUCCUACUGAUGCAUAAGGAUGUUAAAGUCUGGAAAAUUCUUUCAUCAUGCAAGACAGAUAUUGACUUCAUUUUACAGAGUAUACUCGUGGUACAGUCAUCUGAGGAAGGCAACAUGGUCCUUGAAGAAAGGCACAAAAUACAGUCUGCAGUUGAUCGACUAAACACUCUAAUCAGUGAAAGCUGACAAUCUAAAAGUGUACUUGUACUAAGAAACCUUCCCAAAAAUGGGUGAAUGUUGGAAAGAUGUGUGUAUCACGAAAUUAAGUUGGCCUGUGUGUCCAGAGUGAAAGUCUCGAAAAACGCGCGUAUACAUGGGUGCCGAUUUUCGCGGACGAAAUAUUCGUAAAAUGGCAAUAGUAGUGCUUGUAUAGACUACGUUUAUAUGGGUGUCGUUUGACGGUUUCUUGCAGGCGAAACAUUCGUGAAAGGUGUUGGUGAGAUGCCUCAACCAAAGGACUUAGCUUGGGAGGACAGUGGAGUUGAAAGCUCAGUUUUGUUAUUUUGUGUUUAAUGUUUGUACAAGCCUACGACAUUAUAUGUAUUGAGCUUAAGACUCACUUUUGAUGUAACCAAGCAUUGCCUUGAAAAAUUGUAGCCUUCAGGGCAUUUUUAUUAUCUGUUUACCUUCUACAUUUUAAUUUGUUGUUGUCACAUGCUAUAGAUUUAGGGUUAGGACUUAUGAAUGUAUAUUCGCAUGUGUCACCUCUUUUGUACAACUGAGUUUCAUGAAAUUGAAGGAUAUCGUACUUUGAUUUAUGUUA